This is a long non-coding RNA of Pipistrellus kuhlii (Kuhl's pipistrelle), 374 nucleotides long. RefSeq lists it as uncharacterized. The record is from RefSeq and is a predicted model, not a curated record. The transcript has 3 exons. Lineage: Eukaryota; Metazoa; Chordata; Mammalia; Chiroptera; Vespertilionidae.
UUUCCCAAACAAGAGGAACCCAAAGAGGACCACACCAAGUCAUAUCAUAAUUAAAAUGCCAACGGCUAAAGACAAAUAGAGAAUCUUAAAAACAGCAAGAGAAAAACAGUUAAUUAUCUACAAGGGAAUGCCCAUUAGACUGUCACUGAUUUCUCAACAGAUAUUACACAAGUCAGAAGGGAGUGGCAAGAAAUAGUCAAAGUGAUGAAUAGCAAAGACCUACAACCAAGAUUACUUUACCCAGCAAAGUUAUCAUUUAGAAUUGAAGGUCAGAUAAAGAGCUUCACAGACAAGAAAAAGCUAAAGGAAUUCAUCACCACCAAACCAAUAUUAUAGGAAAUAUUGAAGGAUAUUCCUUAAGAAGAUGGAGAAGA